GACGAACGCUGGCGGCGUGCUCAACACAUGCAAGUCGAACGGGUCUGCCCUGUUUUUUGCGGGGUGGGUCAGUGGCGAACGGGUGAGUAACACGUGAGUAACCUGCCCCUCACUUCUGGAUAACCGCUUGAAAGGGUGGCUAAUACGGGGUGUUCUGGCUGUGCCGCAUGGUGUGGCUGGGAAAGAUUCACUUUUGUGGUGUUUUGGUGGGGGAUGGGCUCGCGGCCUAUCAGCUUGUUGGUGGGGUGAUGGCCUGCCAAGGCUUUGACGGGUAGCCGGCAUGAGAGGGUGGGCGGUCACACUGGGACUGAGAUACGGCCCAGACUCCUGCGGGAGGCAGCAGUGGGGGGUAUUGCACAAUGGGCGGAAGCCUGAUGCAGCGACGUCGCGUGAGGGAUGGAGGCCUUCGGGUUGUGAACCUCUUUCGCCGGUGAAGAAGGUCCUGCUCUUUGUGGUGGGGUUGACGGUAGCCGGGUUAUGAAGCGCCGGCUAACUACGUG
RNAcentral lists this ribosomal RNA (500 nucleotides) under uncultured bacterium. Its description in RNAcentral is "partial 16S ribosomal RNA". It matches the Rfam family "Bacterial small subunit ribosomal RNA", at positions 28 to 507 of the family's 1533-position model. The record is from RNAcentral.